UUGGGGACUAGUCCGGGUGGUUAGGCGUCACCUGUUACCUGAAACCGCCGUUAUGCGGGGGACGAAGUUUGAAGAGCGGCUUUGGCGACCUGUCCUGAGUGCAUCUUCCCCGACUGCGAAGCCUUGUCCUGUGAGAUCAGCGUAGAGCAAUUGAGAUUCCGGAGGGAAUUGAUACCUUUUAUUGCGGGGACCGGUUCAGGCCCGGAAGGGAGCAGACUUACCGUAAGCGUCUGGUGCCCACAGGGGUUGCAGGGUGGAGAAGGGGAAAUGCAUAAAGUUCAGGCACGUAAUUCCCACCUUCUUACGUGUCCCUGU
This 315-nucleotide signal recognition particle RNA is filed under the name Methanomicrobium antiquum. RNAcentral's name for it is "signal recognition particle sRNA". It matches the Rfam family "Archaeal signal recognition particle RNA". The record is from RNAcentral. Lineage: Archaea; Methanobacteriati; Methanobacteriota; Methanomicrobia; Methanomicrobiales; Methanomicrobiaceae.